Molecule: unclassified non-coding RNA, 260 nt
Filed under: Chorioactidaceae sp.
Lineage: Eukaryota; Fungi; Ascomycota; Pezizomycetes; Pezizales; Chorioactidaceae
Also listed under: 1 other name
Description: partial contains small subunit ribosomal RNA, internal transcribed spacer 1, and 5.8S ribosomal RNA
Rfam family: Eukaryotic small subunit ribosomal RNA (bases 1-46)
Source: RNAcentral
AAGUCGUAACAAGGUUUCCGUAGGUGAACCUGCGGAAGGAUCAUUAUGGAAACACGCUGGGGGGGGCCCGCACCGGGCCCCUCCCUCGGACUCCACACACACACAUUCUGUGAAUCGCACCCCGUUGCUUCCGUGGCCGUAGCACGCCGCGGAAGGUUCCCCCACACUCUGGUUGUUUCCGUGCCCUCCGGUCUGAGCUUUAACCAAGCACACACAAGCAAAAACUAUAAAAACCUUCAGCAACGGAUCUCUUGGUUCUC